Molecule: ribosomal RNA, 253 nt
Filed under: uncultured bacterium
Lineage: Bacteria
Description: partial 16S ribosomal RNA
Rfam family: Bacterial small subunit ribosomal RNA
Source: RNAcentral
GACGAAGGGGGCGAGCGUUGUUCGGAAUCACUGGGCGUAAAGGGCGCGUAGGCGGCGCGAUAAGUCAGGCGUGAAAGCCCCAGGCUCAACUUGGGAAAUGCGCUUGGGACUGUCGUGCUAGAGAGCGGGAGAGGAUGGUGGAAUUCCCAGUGUAGCGGUGAAAUUCGUAGAUAUUGGGAAGAACACCGGUGGCGAAGGCGGCCAUCUGGACCGUUUCUGACGCUGAGGCGCGAAAGCGUGGGGAGCAAACGGG